UACGAAGGUGGCAAGCGUUGUUCGGAUUUACUGGGCGUACAGGGAGCGUAGGCGGUUGGAUAAGCCCUCCGUGAAAUCUCCAGGCUUUAACCUGGAAAGUGCAGAGGGGACUGUUUCAGCUAGAGGAUGGGAGAGGAGCGCGGAAUUCCCGGUGUAGCGGUGAAAUGCGUAGAGAUCGGGAGGAAGGCCGGUGGCGAAGGCGGCGCUCUGGAACAUUUCUGACGCUGAGGCUCGAAAGCGUGGGGAGCAAACAGG
RNAcentral lists this ribosomal RNA (255 nucleotides) under uncultured bacterium. Its description in RNAcentral is "partial 16S ribosomal RNA". It matches the Rfam family "Bacterial small subunit ribosomal RNA", at positions 524 to 776 of the family's 1533-position model. The record is from RNAcentral.